Molecule: long non-coding RNA, 259 nt
Organism: Oreochromis niloticus (Nile tilapia)
Lineage: Eukaryota; Metazoa; Chordata; Actinopteri; Cichliformes; Cichlidae
Exons: 3
Source: RefSeq, a predicted model, not a curated record
GUAACCGUGGGAAGGAUGUAGCUGUUCACUUCAGAAAGAAUACAAUUAUUGCAAGAUGACUUCACCGGCUAAAGGCUAGCGAUGCUCAUAUCAGGUGGAGUUACAGAGGUCACUUACAUGUGGAGCAGAGAACUUCAGAGCCUCGCUUGUUAAAUGUUAUACUAAUGCAAUUCAGCGAUUGCCUGAAGACACCAUGGACCUAAGCUCAACUUUUCAAAGCACAGGAGUAGGUUAGUAUGCAGUCUACUUUUGUGCAAAU